Molecule: small nucleolar RNA, 90 nt
Filed under: Vicugna pacos (alpaca)
Lineage: Eukaryota; Metazoa; Chordata; Mammalia; Artiodactyla; Camelidae
Source: RNAcentral
AGUGUGCUACAUGAGGGACAAGUUUUUCGCUACCACCACAACUGUCUCUGGCACAGUGAGAGGAGUCUGAUAGUAAUACUUGCUACAAGU